Amblyraja radiata (thorny skate) is the source of this 1157-nucleotide RNA transcript. It is a transcript of the gene named BLOC-1 related complex subunit 8, with no coding region annotated. The transcript has 7 exons. Lineage: Eukaryota; Metazoa; Chordata; Chondrichthyes; Rajiformes; Rajidae. The record is from RefSeq and is a predicted model, not a curated record.
ACUGCGGCGGAAGCAAAGCUCGGAACCCGCAUCUCGGCUCCGUGACUUCGGGGGAUGCGGAGCGGUGGACACUUCCGGCGGCGGCGACCAAAGAUCUUUGUUGGCGACAUGGAGGAGCCGGAGCUGCAGCUGCGAGUUCGUCGGGUUACAGAUAAGUUCACGGAGAGCAUGUACUUUCUGGCCAACGAACCAUCGGUGGCUCUUUACCGUCUCCAGGAGCACGUCCGGCGAUCCCUCCCCGAGCUGGUGCAGCACAAGACAGACAUGCAAGGCGUGGAAGAACAAUGCCAAGGAGCGAUAUAUACUGUGGAGUAUGCCUGCAGUGCGGUGAAGAGCAUGUCUAACAGUGCAGCCUACUUCAAAAACAUUGAGGGGUUGCUCCGACAAGCCAUCAGCAUCAAGGACCAGAUGAGCUCUUUGCAGAGCCGCAGAGCCAAGCGUGCACCCCUCCCUUUCCAGGAAGUGAUGCAAAGAAUGUCCUGAGCUUGGGUUGGAGAAUAAGUCGCACGAGCAUCAGGCUUGUCUUCAAGGGCCAGUGUUGGAUGGUGUAUUCAGUGAACAAUGGCCGUCAAGCUCACCCCAGCCCAUGCGAACCAACCGCAUCAGACACUGCGAGGUUCUGAGGAGAUCGGAGAGGUGACAGAGCUGGUUGUGUGUGUGUGUACGCAUUUGCAUAUGUGUACACAUGCAUUUGUGUACUUGCGUAUGCAUGUGCGUUCCCACACGGGCACUCGGAGCUGCCUCUGGUAGAACUUGUUUCAUCAGCACUUUGUGACAAUGCUGAAGAGUUUAUUCCACUAAAGCUGUACCACUCCUGCACGCAAGCUGUUCCUUGGUUCUCUAUCCAAGACAUGUUGCACACUGACGGGGCGAAGGCUCGCCUGCCCGCUGUUAUCUGUGAUAAAGAAGAUUGUGCACAGAGGACAUUUGGUCCCAGUUUCCAUCAAGACCCUCCUCACGAUAGCUGAAAGCACAGUAAAAAAGACUCUAGCCUCGGUGUGUGAUCUCACGGCUGCACUGCUCGAAACUCCUCACUCCUGCCUCGAGAUGCGGUUUGGGCCAUUCUGUGACGAGGGCUCGAUCUGGCCAGUGCCCGAGAACUCUGUGUGGUUUUGGUGGGCAUGCAUUAACUGUGGUAAAUAAAUGGAUAGAAAGUA